AGUGAACGCUGGCGGUAGGCCUAACACAUGCAAGUCGAACGGCAGCACAGUAAGAGCUUGCUCUUACGGGUGGCGAGUGGCGGACGGGUGAGGAAUACAUCGGAAUCUACUUUUUCGUGGGGGAUAACGUAGGGAAACUUACGCUAAUACCGCAUACGACCUACGGGUGAAAGCAGGGGAUCUUCGGACCUUGCGCGAUUGAAUGAGCCGAUGUCGGAUUAGCUAGUUGGCGGGGUAAAGGCCCACCAAGGCGACGAUCCGUAGCUGGUCUGAGAGGAUGAUCAGCGACACUGGAACUGAGACACGGUCCAGACUCCUACAGGAGGCAGCAGUGUGGAAUAUUGGACAAUGGGCGCAAGCCUGAUCCAGCCAUACCGCGGGGGUGAAGAAGGCCUUCGGGUUGUAAAGCCCUGUUGUUGGGAAAGAAAAGCAGCAGGUUAAUACCCCGCUGUUCUGACGGUACCCAAAGAAUAAGCACCGGCUAACUUCGUG
Molecule: ribosomal RNA, 492 nt
Filed under: uncultured bacterium
Lineage: Bacteria
Description: partial 16S ribosomal RNA
Rfam family: Bacterial small subunit ribosomal RNA
Source: RNAcentral